CAGAGGGGCUCUUUUGGAAGCGCCUGGCACUGCAGGAGCCGGGCCCGGUGUGCCAGGGAGCUGUGAAGACAGCGCGAAGCAGGAUGCUGGACACCAGCUACUGGAUUCACCUGCUGUUUGCCAGGAGCCCCUGCGGGCACGGCGCCGAGUGAGUCCGGGGCUGUGUUGGACAGGUCACCUUACUUGAGCCUCCCAACCUCCCAACAAGGAAGAUCUGACGAGGAAACCGAAGCCCAGGACCCCCCACGCCCAGCCCGAGGGACAGGACUCACGGCAAGUGGCCUGGAACUCAUCGGAGCCGUCGGAACACUCCUCCUCGCCGUCACACUUCCACCGCUCGGGGAUGCAGUGGCCGUUGUCGCAGAGUCUAGUUCCCCGGUCACAGCCUCCCGGAAGUCUCCCUGGCCACCUAGGGCAGAUGCUUUAGCCCCUUCCGCCAGUUCUCAGUCCCUUCACCUGCUCCCCAACCAGACCAAUGUCAAGGCCUCUUCUGAUGGGAAGAAGGAAGCAAAGGGCUCUGAAGAAGGAAGCAAGUUGUAAUGUAUGAGGAACACGCAGCAGAGAUCCUGGCACACAGCAGAUGCUCGAAGAACACCUUUGUGCAGGGCUGGAAGAAACCGGAGGAAUCAGAAUCCACCUGCAGAUGGGGAGCCUGAGGCUCAGAGAGGGGAGGGUCAGCCCAGGGAAACAGCAGGCCGGGAUCAGAGCCAGCCGUCCUGACUCCAGGCCAGGAGCCUGAGCAGCCCUCCCGAGCCCGGCACCUCGGGGCGUGGUAGGUCACAGACAUCAAUACCACCUUUAGGUAAAUCGCGGUCCAUAGUCACCUGAAAGUAAGGACAGGGAUGAGCCACAGCACUGGGCAUUUCCCAGCAGGGACAGUAGGGUGUUUUCUCCACCAGAA
Molecule: long non-coding RNA, 901 nt
Organism: Eptesicus fuscus (big brown bat)
Lineage: Eukaryota; Metazoa; Chordata; Mammalia; Chiroptera; Vespertilionidae
Exons: 4
Source: RefSeq, a predicted model, not a curated record